AUUGAACGCUGGCGGCAGGCCUAACACAUGCAAGUCGAGCGGAUGAAGGGAGCUUGCUCCUGGAUUCAGCGGCGGACGGGUGAGUAAUGCCUAGGAAUCUGCCUGGUAGUGGGGGAUAACGUCCGGAAACGGGCGCUAAUACCGCAUACGUCCUGAGGGAGAAAGUGGGGGAUCUUCGGACCUCACGCUAUCAGAUGAGCCUAGGUCGGAUUAGCUAGUUGGGGGGUAAAGGGCUACCAAGGCGACGAUCCGUAACUGGUCUGAGAGGAUGAUCAGUCACACUGGAACUGAGACACGGUCCAGACUCCUACGGGAGGCAGCAGUGGGGAAUAUUGGACAAUGGGCGAAAGCCUGAUCCAGCCAUGCCGCGUGUGUGAAGAAGGUCUUCGGAUUGUAAAGCACUUUAAGUUGGGAGGAAGGGCAGUAAGUUAAUACCUUGCUGUUUUGACGUUACCAACAGAAUAAGCACCGGCUAACUUCGUG
This 483-nucleotide ribosomal RNA is filed under the name uncultured bacterium. RNAcentral describes it as "partial 16S ribosomal RNA". It matches the Rfam family "Bacterial small subunit ribosomal RNA", at positions 30 to 507 of the family's 1533-position model. The record is from RNAcentral.